UACGUAGGGGGCAAGCGUUGUCCGGAAUCAUUGGGCGUAAAGAGCGUGUAGGCGGCCCGAUAAGUCCGCUGUGAAAGUCCAGGGCUCAACCCUGGGAUGCCGGUGGAUACUGUCGGGCUCGAGUCCGGAAGAGGAGUGUGGAAUUCCUGGUGUAGCGGUGAAAUGCGCAGAUAUCAGGAGGAACACCAAUGGCGAAGGCAGCACUCUGGGGACGUGACUGACGCUGAGACGCGAAAAGCGUGGGGGAGCAAACAGG
RNAcentral lists this ribosomal RNA (256 nucleotides) under uncultured bacterium. RNAcentral describes it as "partial 16S ribosomal RNA". It matches the Rfam family "Bacterial small subunit ribosomal RNA", at positions 524 to 776 of the family's 1533-position model. The record is from RNAcentral.